ACUCCUCCCACUAUUUAAAUUUUAACUUUCUAAUAUCUCUUCUGUUUUACCUUUGAUCGAGCUGUCCUCAUACUCACAGGUUUGGCCCUCUCAGUGGUAGGUGUGUGCGUUUUGGGAGUUAGAUUAACGAGCUCAUGGGUUCUCUAGUGUCCAUUCCAUCAAGGUCCUCCUAUUCUGGAUAUAGUCAGUGGUCAUGAUACAGGAAUUAAGUGUGCAACUUUAGCACGCAAGUCAACCAAUGCUCUAAAUUUAUUAGCCAUACUCCUUCACAUUUUCCCAAAAUGUUUUCUACUGGUAGAAUAGAUCAUGCAGUGCUCCUACACAGUAUCAGAAGUCAAGUCAGUGCUACGCAAUAGCAGGUUCAUUAAUAACAUUGCCACUUAAAUGUCUGAUGUGAGGAACACGAAUUCAGAAACAGUCUUAUUUGUAUGCAGCUUGGCAGCCAUCUUGCUGAAAACACUUGUUAUCUGUAGUGUGAAGUCCAGCAACUGACCUGUACCUCCAGGGCUGCUCAGGAUCCUGUGGCUUCAGUGGGAGUUCACAGUGCAUUUGUGGGAACUGAAUUCUAUGCAAGUUUCUGUUCUAGAUAGUAUGAAGUGAAACUUAAAACAAAGACUGAGGGAGCCUGGAACCUCUUUUAGUCUACAGUGCCUAACAGUUUCAGCAAGAUGGCUGCUGCUGCUAGGAAUUUAAUAUAUCUGUGCUCUUCUUGCAUCACACAUCUAACCUGUCACUGGAAGGAUAAGGGCUGGAUGUAAUAUAUUCUGCCAUGUGAAGCAAGCGUAGUAACAACAAGUGUUCUCAUUCAUCUACUUCCCUUGUAGAAACAGAAGAAUCUGAAGAGGAAGAUAAAGAAAAUGAUAAAGCUGAAGAUGAUAAGGAGAAUGAGCUGACAGUGGAAGACAAGUCUUUACAGGAAAGUGAGGAGGAUGAAAUUGGAAAUCUUGAGCUAGCCUGGGACAUGCUGGAGUUAGCAAAAGUAAUCUACAAGAGACAAGAAACAAAAGAAGCUCAGCUCCAUGCAGCUCAAGCUCAUCUAAAGUUAGGGGAAGUUAGCAUUGAAUCUGGUAAGUAAUAUUAAUUCUCAUGUACAAAGUGUUCAGUUCCACUUUCUGUCACUCUCUAUUUUGUACUUUAAAAUGAGCAGAGGUGAGUUAAGGCUGUUAAGAUGAAAACAAAAUAGACUUUUUCUAAUUAUGAUAGUGCAGCCAUGUGAGAAGCUUUGGAAUCAAUGGAUGAACAAGUUGGUGCCUUAAAGGCAAAAGCUGCAUGUGCAAGCGAAGCAAACCAAGGAAUUGAUUCACCACUUCCCAUUGGCAGGCAGGUGUUAAGCCAUCCGCAGGAAAGCAGGGCUCCAUCACACCUAACGGUUACUUGGGAAGACAAAAUGCUGUAACUCUGAACAUCCUGCCCUUCCUUCUUUUCCCCCAGCUUUAUAUGCUGAGCAUGAUGUCAUUAGGGUAUGGAAUAUCCCUUUGGUCAAU
Long non-coding RNA from Harpia harpyja (harpy eagle), 1484 nucleotides. RefSeq lists it as uncharacterized. NCBI's taxonomy places the organism in Eukaryota, Metazoa, Chordata, Aves, Accipitriformes, Accipitridae. The transcript is spliced from 3 exons. The record is from RefSeq and is a predicted model, not a curated record.